GGAGGAAAAGAAACUAACAAGGAUUCCCCUAGUAACUGCGAGUGAAGAGGGAAGAGCUCAAAUUUCGAAUCUGGCGGUCUUUGGCCGUCCGAGUUGUAAUCUAGAGAAGCGUCGUCCGCGCUGGACCGUGUAUAAGUCUCCUGGAAGGGAGCGUCGUAGAGGGUGAGAAUCCCGUCUUUGACACGGACUACCAGUGCUAUGUGAUGCGCUCUCGACGAGUCGAGUUGUUUGGGAAUGCAGCUCAAAAUGGGUGGUAAAUUCCAUCUAAAGCUAAAUACAGGCGAGAGACCGAUAGCGAACAAGUACCGUGAGGGAAAGAUGAAAAGAACUUUGGAAAGAGAGUUAAACAGUACGUGAAAUUGCUGAAAGGGAAACGCUUGAUGUCAGUCGCGUCGGCCGGGGAUCAACCUUGCUUCUCUGCUGGGUGUACUUCCUGGUCGACGGGUCAGCAUCAGCUUCGGUCGCCGUACAAGGGCGAGGGGAACGUGGCACUCUUCGGAGUGUGUUAUAGCCUUUCGUCGUAUGCGGCGGUCGGGACUGAGGAACUCAGCACGGCUUCGGUUUGUGCUUAGGAUGCUGGCAUAAUGGCCUUAAGCGACCCGUCUUGAAACACGGACCAAGGAGUCUAACAUGCCUGCGAGUGUUUGGGUGGCAAACCCGAGCGCGCAAUGAAAGUGAAAGUUGAGACCUCUGUCGUGGAGGGCAUCGACGCCCGGACCUGAGUCUUCGACGACGGAUCUGCGGUAGAGCACGUAUGUUGGGACCCGAAAGAUGGUGAACUAUGCCUGAAUAGGGUGAAGCCAGAGGAAACUCUGGUGGAGGCUCGUAGCGAUUCUGACGUGCAAAUCGAUCGU
RNAcentral lists this ribosomal RNA (854 nucleotides) under Suillellus sp. RNAcentral describes it as "LSU rRNA". It matches the Rfam family "Eukaryotic large subunit ribosomal RNA", at positions 52 to 905 of the family's 3401-position model. Lineage: Eukaryota; Fungi; Basidiomycota; Agaricomycetes; Boletales; Boletaceae. The record is from RNAcentral.